Molecule: non-coding RNA, 1230 nt
Organism: Sus scrofa (pig)
Lineage: Eukaryota; Metazoa; Chordata; Mammalia; Artiodactyla; Suidae
Source: RefSeq, a predicted model, not a curated record
GCGACCUACAUUACAGUUCACGGAAACGCUGGAUCCCCAACCACUGAGCGAGGCCAGGGAUCAAACCUCAUGGUUCCUAGUCGGAUUCAUUAACCACUGAGCCAUGACGGGAACUCCUGUUCUUCCUGAUUUUUAUUGCAGUAACAUAGGUUUCACAAGCCAAAAUCAAGGUAUUGACUGACCUGGCUCUUACCUGGAGUUUGUGGGGGAGAAUCUAAUUCCAGGCUCACCCAGGUUGUUGGAAGGAUUCAGUUCCAAUUAAAGGACUGAGAUCCCUGUUUCUUGAUGAUUGUUGGCUGCACGACUGUCAUCUUUUAGAGGCUACUUGGCCCCCUCCAUCUUCAAAGCCAGCCAGCCCUAGGUGUCCUGCAUGCCACACCCUCAUCCCAGCUCUUCAUGGAGAGGUCCAGAAGUUGAAGCACCACGUGGAGAAAGGCCACAAACAGGAGAACUGAGGCACCCUGCCAAACUUCCAGCUGAAUGGGGCAUAUGAGUGAUCUAGCUGGCAUGAUGUGACACAGAAUUACCUAGGCCACCCACAGAAUGGUGAGAUACUAUAUCGUGUUUGAGGCCACCAGGUUUGGGAUGGUUCCUUAGGCAGCAAUAGAUAACUGAUCACCUUGGUUCACAACUCCCCACCCACCUGAGGUACAACUGAAAGGAAAUGGGAGAAAAAGCCAUAACUGAGUAUGCUUCUUCCACUGGAGAGAUUAGAGGCUUGUACUAUCCAUUAUAUUUCAAUUUCAGAAAAAAAAUUAAUGUUACUUUUCUCAUAUACCUGAACAUGUAUAAAAUUCAUAUCCUCUCAAUGUACUUACAACAUGAAAAGAAAACAAAGCUGAUCAUUGCUUAGGGAGUUGCCAUCUGCUGACCAGUUCCCACCACUCCAGCUCCUUUGGUGACGGUACUCUAUCUUUCUCUUUGGCAAGCUGCCCCUCCUCCACUCUUUGAGGACCUGGAGGUCCUUCCAUUCAGGGUGCCUGGCCUGUGUCCAGGAAUGGACUUAUGAGUGCUAGCACAAGAACUGAAAGCCACUGGGCCUGUGUCAUUCCGGUGGUCCAGGAGACACCACCCAAAUGUUCCUGCUACCAAGAUUCCUGGACCUUCUUGGGCUCCUUGUCUGCCCUGCACCUCGGAGUUGGUUGGCACCUUCCAAAACUCUCCUUUCCCUUAAUUUAGCCAGAAUUGGUCUCUAUUGUCUGUCACCAAAGAGCCCUGAUUAACAUGUAA